CACGUAGGCACCAAGCGUUGUCCGGAUUUAUUGGGCGUAAAGGGCUCGUAGGCGGUUUGUCGCGUCGGGAGUGAAAACCUUGGGCUUAACUCAGGGCUUGCUUUCGAUACGGGCAGACUAGAGGUAUGCAGGGGAGAACGGAAUUCCUGGUGUAGCGGUGAAAUGCGCAGAUAUCAGGAGGAACACCGGUGGCGAAGGCGGUUCUCUGGGCAUGAUCUGACGCUGAGGAGCGAAAGUGUGGGGGAGGCGAACAGG
This 255-nucleotide ribosomal RNA is filed under the name uncultured bacterium. RNAcentral's name for it is "partial 16S ribosomal RNA". It matches the Rfam family "Bacterial small subunit ribosomal RNA", at positions 524 to 776 of the family's 1533-position model. The record is from RNAcentral.